GAUGAAGAACGCAGCGAAAUGCGAUAAGUAAUGUGAAUUGCAGAAUUCAGUGAAUCAUCGAAUCUUUGAACGCACAUUGCGCCCGCCAGUAUUCUGGCGGGCAUGCCUGUUCGAGCGUCAUUACAACCCUCAGGCCCCCGGGCCUGGCGUUGGGGUUCGGCGGAAGCCCCCUGCGGGCACAACGCCGUCCCCCAAAUACAGUGGCGGUCCCGCCGCAGCUUCCAUUGCGUAGUAGCUAACACCUCGCAACUGGAGAGCGGCGCGGCCACGCCGUAAAACACCCAACUUCUGAAUGUUGACCUCGAAUCAGGUAGGAAUACCCGCUGAACUUAAGCAUAUCAAUAAGCGGAGGA
This 353-nucleotide unclassified non-coding RNA is filed under the name soil metagenome. RNAcentral's name for it is "partial contains 5.8S ribosomal RNA, internal transcribed spacer 2, and large subunit ribosomal RNA". The stretch from base 1 to 120 matches the Rfam family "5.8S ribosomal RNA", at positions 35 to 154 of the family's 154-position model. The record is from RNAcentral.